Molecule: ribosomal RNA, 492 nt
Filed under: uncultured bacterium
Lineage: Bacteria
Description: partial 16S ribosomal RNA
Rfam family: Bacterial small subunit ribosomal RNA
Source: RNAcentral
AGUGAACGCUGGCGGUAGGCCUAACACAUGCAAGUCGAACGGCAGCACAGUAAGAGCUUGCUCUUACGGGUGGCGAGUGGCGGACGGGUGAGGAAUACAUCGGAAUCUACUUUUUCGUGGGGGAUAACGUAGGGAAACUUACGCUAAUACCGCAUACGACCUACGGGUGAAAGCAGGGGAUCUUCAGACCUUGCGCGAUUGAAUGAGCCGAUGUCGGAUUAGCUAGUUGGCGGGGUAAAGGCCCACCAAGGCGACGAUCCGUAGCUGGUCUGAGAGGAUGAUCAGCCACACUGGAACUGAGACACGGUCCAGACUCCUACGGGAGGCAGCAGUGGGGAAUAUUGGACAAUGGGCGCAAGCCUGAUCCAGCUAUACCGCGUGGGUGAAGAAGGCCUUCGGGUUGUAAAGCCCUUUUGUUGGGAAAGAAAAGCAGCAGGUUAAUACCCCGCUGUUCUGACGGUACCCAAAGAAUAAGCACCGGCUAACUUCGUG